UACAGAGACUGCAAGCGUUGUUCGGAUUCAUUGGGCGUAAAGGGUCCGUAGGCGGUCGGUUAAGUCGGAUGUGAAAUCUCACAGCCUAACUGUGAACGGUCAUUCGAAACUAAUCGGCUAGAGGGCUGGAGAGGAGACUGGAAUUGUCGGUGUAGCGGUGAAAUGCGUAGAGAUCGACAAGAACACCGGUGGCGAAGGCGGGUCUCUGGACCGUUCCUGACGCUGAGGGACGAAAGCUAGGGGAGCAAACGGG
Molecule: ribosomal RNA, 253 nt
Filed under: uncultured bacterium
Lineage: Bacteria
Description: partial 16S ribosomal RNA
Rfam family: Bacterial small subunit ribosomal RNA
Source: RNAcentral